UCAGAAGAGGGCACCAUAUCUCAUUACAGAUGGUUGUGAGCCACCAUGUGGUUGCUGGGAAUUGAACUCAUGCCCCCUUGAAGAGCAUCUGUGCCAUCUCUCCAGCCCUCAAGUAACUCUUUAAAUCAAUGUGUGAAUGUGCAGGUGUUCGUGUGUGUGUGUGUGUGUGUGUGUGUGUGUGUGUGUGUGUGUGUGUGUGUGUGUGUGUGUGUGUGUGUGUGUGUUGGAGUUAAUGGCCAACCUAAGAUGUUGGUCCUUGUGUUUUAUUUACUUUGUUUGAUACAGGGCCUCUUGUUCCUGGCUAUAUAUGCCAGGCUACCCGUCCCCAGGGCUUCUGGGAGAUUAUCUUCCACCUCUGAGCAGUUCUCAGAUUUACACAUGUUCCAGCAGUCAACCUUCAGUAGGAGUUUCAGAGACCCAAGUGCAUAUCCUGAUUCCUGCACGAGCUCUUUCCCCACUGAACCUUCUUAUCAAGUAAUUUCAAAGGGACAAUUUUAUAAGACCACAACUAAGAAGAAUCAGCUUUUAAGAUAUUUUCAAUUAUGUGUGUAUGUGUGUGUCUCUGUGUGGGUUAGGUGCGUGUGUGGAUGCAAUGCCUUCAGGGUUCAAAUGGGCAUCAGAUUCCCUGGAGCUGCCCAGUGUGGGUACUAGGAACUGAACUCAGUCCUCUGCAAAGAGGAGAACAUGCUGGACUAUCUCUUCACCCGAGAAACAUGAGUGUCUUUGAAAGGAAUGAUCUUUUGUAAAAUGUCAAUGUUUUCCUGAAAACAUGUCGCCAUGCUAGUUUUGCAGAAGUCACAUAAAGCAUGUAACUGCUUUUACUAGGAUUUCACCCAUGCUAUGGGCAAAUCUAUAGUCCUGCCACACAGUGUAGAAACAAUUCUUUGAUGUGGGUCUGUAAAUCUUAUUUUAGCCACAAAACCAAGUAUGAAUUAACUAAGCUCUGUAGAGGAUACAUAGGCUGUAUUGUAUGCAGUGCCCAACACCGUUGGCAACCGUUUCCCUAGAUGUCGCUGCUUCGUGUGCAAUGGUUCCUACAUUUAAGCAGUGCGAUCAACAGGGAAAAACUUUCCAUUCCCACUGCUAAUAUCAGAAAAGUCCUCCUGAUACUAAUAUAGCUUGACUUUCUACUUUAGUACAAACAUCAAGGGACAAAAAUCUACAAUUGCAUACAUGUGAGAGGCAAAUUGUUCGAUCAAAUCACAUUUGUUUUUAGCAGUUUGAGAGAGAUUUUCAUGGCUAAGAACUUUUCUACUAUUUGUGGGAUCUCAUUGCAGGGUUUCAAGUUAAGACAUAAAAGGCUUUUUAUUUUUAUGGGUCAUGCAUCUUUAAGGUGUUUAGGUGGAUGUUACAUGUUCACAGUUUUCUGUAGCUACCUACUAUCUCAGAAGGGAUCUAGGAAAUAGAGCUGCCCACAAGAGAACUUUUUUCCUGGAGUCUUUCCCUGCGCUAUUGUCUUUAUAGGGAUGAAAUUUGGCAGCCAUGUCUAAAGAGUCUGAAGAAUACAACUGGCGAAGAGAACAGGCAGAGACCCUGAAUGAUGUCAUGAGACAGCUGGGGAAGGAAUAGACAUGGAGAUGACCCUGAGUGAUGCCAUAAGAAGGUGACUGGGAGAGGCAGGAUCCAAACCCAGUUCCUCGGACUUGAUAAACGAGCACUCAUCCACCUGAGCUCUCUCUCCAGCGCAGCUCUGGGACUGUCGCCCUAAUAAAUGUUAGCCAUGUAUGCUAACUAGUGAGUCUUUUGAGUCCUGGAAUCACCAAAGGAAACAACCAUGUACAUAAAAUGGAAUAAAUUAAAAUCCACGUGUCCAUCUGA
Molecule: long non-coding RNA, 1818 nt
Organism: Mesocricetus auratus (golden hamster)
Lineage: Eukaryota; Metazoa; Chordata; Mammalia; Rodentia; Cricetidae
Exons: 2
Source: RefSeq, a predicted model, not a curated record